GACACUAUGGCCGAGUGGUUAAGGCGACAGAUUCGAAUUCCGCGAAUAUCUGUUUCCCUCUGGGAGCGCAGGUUCAAAUCCUGCUGGUGUCG
This 92-nucleotide transfer RNA is filed under the name Russula ochroleuca. It matches the Rfam family "tRNA". From Rfam's summary of the family: Transfer RNA (tRNA) molecules are approximately 80 nucleotides in length. Their secondary structure includes four short double-helical elements and three loops (D, anti-codon, and T loops). Lineage: Eukaryota; Fungi; Basidiomycota; Agaricomycetes; Russulales; Russulaceae. The record is from Rfam by way of RNAcentral.